UACGUAGGGUGCGAGCGUUGUCCGGAAUUAUUGGGCGUAAAGGGCUCGUAGGCGGUUUGUCGCGUCGGGAGUGAAAACACCGGGCUUAACUCGGUGCUUGCUUUCGAUACGGGCAGACUAGAGGUAUGCAGGGGAGAACGGAAUUCCUGGUGUAGCGGUGAAAUGCGCAGAUAUCAGGAGGAACACCAGUGGCGAAGGCGGGUCUCUGGACAGUUCCUGACGCUGAGGCACGAAGGUCAGGGGAGCAAACGGG
Molecule: ribosomal RNA, 253 nt
Filed under: uncultured bacterium
Lineage: Bacteria
Description: partial 16S ribosomal RNA
Rfam family: Bacterial small subunit ribosomal RNA
Source: RNAcentral